CCAGGUGUAGCUCAGGGGCAGAGCAUUUGCCUAGAGUGCAUGAGGUCCUGGGUUUGAUUCCCAGCACUGAGA
Molecule: transfer RNA, 72 nt
Filed under: Marmota marmota marmota (Alpine marmot)
Lineage: Eukaryota; Metazoa; Chordata; Mammalia; Rodentia; Sciuridae
Also listed under: 1 other name
Rfam family: tRNA
About the family: Transfer RNA (tRNA) molecules are approximately 80 nucleotides in length. Their secondary structure includes four short double-helical elements and three loops (D, anti-codon, and T loops). Further hydrogen bonds mediate the characteristic L-shaped molecular structure. tRNAs have two regions of fundamental functional importance: the anti-codon, which is responsible for specific mRNA codon recognition, and the 3' end, to which the tRNAs corresponding amino acid is attached (by aminoacyl-tRNA synthetases). tRNAs cope with the degeneracy of the genetic code in two manners: having more than one tRNA (with a specific anti-codon) for a particular amino acid; and 'wobble' base-pairing, i.e. permitting non-standard base-pairing at the 3rd anti-codon position.
Source: Rfam by way of RNAcentral